GACGAACGCUGGCGGCGUGCUUAACACAUGCAAGUCGAACGGGCCUUGUCCCCUUUUUUUUUGGGGGUGGGGUUAGUGGCGAACGGGUGAGUAACACGUGAGUAACCUGCCCCUCACUUCUGGAUAACCGCUUGAAAGGGUGGCUAAUACGGGGUGUUCUGGCCUGCUCGCAUGGGUGGGUUUGGAAAGAUUCGACCGGUUUUGGUUGUUUUGGUGGGGGAUGGGCUCGCGGCCUAUCAGCUUGUUGGUGGGGUGAUGGCCUGCCAAGGCUUUGACGGGUAGCCGGCCUGAGAGGGUGGGCGGUCACACUGGGACUGAGACACGGCCCAGACUCCUACGGGAGGCAGCAGUGGGGAAUAUUGCACAAUGGGCGCAAGCCUGAUGCAGCGACGCCGCGUGAGGGAUGGAGGCCUUCGGGUUGUGAACCUCUUUCGCCAGUGAAGAAGGUCCUGCUCUUUGUGGUGGGGUUGACGGUAGCGGGGUUAAUGAAGCGCCGGCUAACUACGUG
This 508-nucleotide ribosomal RNA is filed under the name uncultured bacterium. Its description in RNAcentral is "partial 16S ribosomal RNA". It matches the Rfam family "Bacterial small subunit ribosomal RNA", at positions 28 to 507 of the family's 1533-position model. The record is from RNAcentral.